Molecule: ribosomal RNA, 460 nt
Filed under: uncultured bacterium
Lineage: Bacteria
Description: partial 16S ribosomal RNA
Rfam family: Bacterial small subunit ribosomal RNA
Source: RNAcentral
CCUACGGGAGGCUGCAGUGAGGAAUAUUGGUCAAUGGACGAGAGUCUGAACCAGCCAAGUAGCGUGAAGGAUGACUGCCCUAUGGGUUGUAAACUUCUUUUAUAUGGGAAUAAAAUGUUCCACGUGUGGGAUUUUGUAUGUACCAUAUGAAUAAGGAUCGGCUAACUCCGUGCCAGCAGCCGCGGUAAUACGGAGGAUCCGAGCGUUAUCCGGAUUUAUUGGGUUUAAAGGGAGCGUAGGUGGGUGGUUAAGUCAGUUGUGAAAGUUUGCGGCUCAACCGUAAAAUUGCAGUUGAUACUGGCAGUCUUGAGUACAGUAGAGGUGGGCGGAAUUCGUGGUGAAGCGGUGAAAUGCUUAGAUAUCACGAAGAACUCCGAUUGCGAAGGCAGUUCACUGGACUGCAACUGACACUGAGGCUCGAAAGUGUGGGUAUCAAACAGGAUUAGAUACCCCAGUAGUC